AGAGUUUGAUUCUGGCUCAGAUUGAACGCUGGCGGCAUGCCUUACACAUGCAAGUCGAACGGUAACAGGUCUUCGGAUGCUGACGAGUGGCGAACGGGUGAGUAAUACAUCGGAACGUGCCCGAUCGUGGGGGAUAACGGAGCGAAAGCUUUGCUAAUACCGCAUACGAUCUACGGAUGAAAGCAGGGGACCGCAAGGCCUUGCGCUUUCGGAGCGGCCGAUGUCGGAUUAGCUAGUUGGUGGGGUAAAGGCCUACCAAGGCGACGAUCCGUAGCGGGUCUGAGAGGAUGAUCCGCCACGCUGGGACUGAGACACGGCCCAGACUCCUACGGGAGGCAGCAGUGGGGAAUUUUGGACAAUGGGCGCAAGCCUGAUCCAGCCAUGCCGCGUGAGUGAAGAAGGCCUUCGGGUUGUAAAGCUCUUUCGGCGGGGAAGAAAUGGCAACGGCUAAUAUCCGUUGUUGAUGACGGUACCCGCAUAAGAAGCACCGGCUAACUACGUGCCAGCAGCCGCGGUAAU
Molecule: ribosomal RNA, 519 nt
Filed under: uncultured beta proteobacterium
Lineage: Bacteria; Pseudomonadati; Pseudomonadota; Betaproteobacteria
Description: bacterial SSU rRNA
Rfam family: Bacterial small subunit ribosomal RNA
Source: RNAcentral